CUCCGGGAAACCGGAGCUAAUACCGGAUAGUUCCUUGAACCGCAUGGUUCAAGGAUGAAAGACGGUUUCGGCUGUCACUUACAGAUGGACCCGCGGCGCAUUAGCUAGUUGGUGAGGUAACGGCUCACCAAGGCGACGAUGCGUAGCCGACCUGAGAGGGUGAUCGGCCACACUGGGACUGAGACACGGCCCAGACUCCUACGGGAGGCAGCAGUAGGGAAUCUUCCGCAAUGGACGAAAGUCUGACGGAGCAACGCCGCGUGAGUGAUGAAGGUUUUCGGAUCGUAAAGCUCUGUUGUUAGGGAAGAACAAGUGCAAGAGUAACUGCUUGCACCUUGACGGUACCUAACCAGAAAGCCACGGCUAACUACGUGCCAGCAGCCGCGGUAAUACGUAGGUGGCAAGCGUUGUCCGGAAUUAUUGGGCGUAAAGGGCUCGCAGGCGGUUUCUUAAGUCUGAUGUGAAAGCCCCCGGCUCAACCGGGGAGGGUCAUUGGAAACUGGGAAACUUGAGUGCAGAAGAGGAGAGUGGAAUUUCCACGUGUAGCGGUGAAAUGCGUAGAGAUGUGGAGGAACACCAGUGGCGAAGGCGACUCUCUGGUCUGUAACUGACGCUGAGGAGCGAAAGCGUGGGGAGCGAACAGGAUUAGAUACCCUGGUAGUCCACGCCGUAAACGAUGAGUGCUAAGUGUUAGGGGGUUUCCGCCCCUUAGUGCUGCAGCUAACGCAUUAAGCACUCCGCCUGGGGAGUACGGUCGCAAGACUGAAACUCAAAGGAAUUGACGGGGGCCCGCACAAGCGGUGGAGCAUGUGGUUUAAUUCGAAGCAACGCGAAGAACCUUACCAGGUCUUGACAUCCUCUGACAACCCUAGAGAUAGGGCUUUCCCUUCGGGGACAGAGUGACAGGUGGUGCAUGGUUGUCGUCAGCUCGUGUCGUGAGAUGUUGGGUUAAGUCCCGCAACGAGCGCAACCCUUGAUCUUAGUUGCCAGCAUUUAGUUGGGCACUCUAAGGUGACUGCCGGUGACAAACCGGAGGAAGGUGGGGAUGACGUCAAAUCAUCAUGCCCCUUAUGACCUGGGCUACACACGUGCUACAAUGGACAGAACAAAGGGCUGCGAGACCGCAAGGUUUAGCCAAUCCCACAAAUCUGUUCUCAGUUCGGAUCGCAGUCUGCAACUCGACUGCGUGAAGCUGGAAUCGCUAGUAAUCGCGGAUCAGCAUGCCG
RNAcentral lists this ribosomal RNA (1226 nucleotides) under Bacillus sp. KF4060. RNAcentral's name for it is "bacterial SSU rRNA". It matches the Rfam family "Bacterial small subunit ribosomal RNA", at positions 147 to 1359 of the family's 1533-position model. Lineage: Bacteria; Bacillati; Bacillota; Bacilli; Caryophanales; Bacillaceae. The record is from RNAcentral.